Rhamnusium bicolor is the source of this 69-nucleotide non-coding RNA. The record is from the annotation of a GenBank genome assembly. Lineage: Eukaryota; Metazoa; Arthropoda; Insecta; Coleoptera; Cerambycidae.
UCCGUGGUGUAGCGGUAACGUAUUUGCCUGGAAACUUCGGGGUUCCGGGUUCAAUUCCCGGUCGAGGAA